This 71-nucleotide transfer RNA is filed under the name Marmota monax (woodchuck). RNAcentral describes it as "tRNA.Ala". It matches the Rfam family "tRNA". From Rfam's summary of the family: Transfer RNA (tRNA) molecules are approximately 80 nucleotides in length. Their secondary structure includes four short double-helical elements and three loops (D, anti-codon, and T loops). Further hydrogen bonds mediate the characteristic L-shaped molecular structure. tRNAs have two regions of fundamental functional importance: the anti-codon, which is responsible for specific mRNA codon recognition, and the 3' end, to which the tRNAs corresponding amino acid is attached (by aminoacyl-tRNA synthetases). tRNAs cope with the degeneracy of the genetic code in two manners: having more than one tRNA (with a specific anti-codon) for a particular amino acid; and 'wobble' base-pairing, i.e. permitting non-standard base-pairing at the 3rd anti-codon position. Lineage: Eukaryota; Metazoa; Chordata; Mammalia; Rodentia; Sciuridae. The record is from RNAcentral.
GGGGUUGUGGCUCAGCGGUAGAGUGCUCACCUAGCACGUGUAAGGCAUUGGGUUUGAUUCCCAGCACCACA